Molecule: signal recognition particle RNA, 299 nt
Filed under: Jaculus jaculus (lesser Egyptian jerboa)
Lineage: Eukaryota; Metazoa; Chordata; Mammalia; Rodentia; Dipodidae
Description: Metazoan signal recognition particle RNA (ENSJJAG00000006029.1)
Rfam family: Metazoan signal recognition particle RNA
About the family: The signal recognition particle (SRP) is a universally conserved ribonucleoprotein. It is involved in the co-translational targeting of proteins to membranes. The eukaryotic SRP consists of a 300-nucleotide 7S RNA and six proteins: SRPs 72, 68, 54, 19, 14, and 9.
Source: RNAcentral
GCUGGGUGCAGUGGCGCAUGCCUGUAGACCCAGCUACUUGGGAGGCUGAGGCAGAAGGAUCGCUUGAGUACAGGAGUUCUGGGCUGCAGCGCGCUAUGCUGAUCGGGUGUCCACACUGAGUUCGGCAUCAAUAUGGUGACCUCCUGGGAGCAGGGGACCACCAGGUGGCCUAAGGAGGGGUGAACCGGCCCAGGUUGGAAAUGGAGCAGGUCAAAACUCCUGUGCUGAUCAGUAGUGGGAUCGCACCUGUGAAUAGCCACUGCACUCCAGCCUGGGCAACAUAGCAAGACCCCGUUUCU